This is a long non-coding RNA of Etheostoma spectabile (orangethroat darter), 126 nucleotides long. RefSeq lists it as uncharacterized. Lineage: Eukaryota; Metazoa; Chordata; Actinopteri; Perciformes; Percidae. The record is from RefSeq and is a predicted model, not a curated record. The transcript is spliced from 3 exons.
GAGUUUGUAUAAAAGUUUUUUUUCCAUUGCUUAACAACAGUGGUCACAACUGAAGCCACAUUUGCAAAACUCUGACCACAGUGUGCAUAACCAACAGUCACCUGAACUAAACAGUUCACAAAACUC